CCUACGGGAGGCUGCAGUGGGGAAUAUUGGACAAUGGGGGGAACCCUGAUCCAGCCAUGCCGCGUGUGUGAAGAAGGCCCUCGGGUUGUAAAGCACUUUCAGUGAGGAAGAACGCCUGGUGGUUAAUACCCAUCAGGAAAGACAUCACUCACAGAAGAAGCACCGGCUAACUCCGUGCCAGCAGCCGCGGUAAUACGGAGGGUGCGAGCGUUAAUCGGAAUUACUGGGCGUAAAGCGCGCGUAGGUGGCUUGAUAAGCCGGUUGUGAAAGCCCCGGGCUCAACCUGGGAACGGCAUCCGGAACUGUCAAGCUAGAGUGCAGGAGAGGAGGGUAGAAUUCCCGGUGUAGCGGUGAAAUGCGUAGAGAUCGGGAGGAAUACCAGUGGCGAAGGCGGCCUUCUGGACUGACACUGACACUGAGGUGCGAAAGCGUGGGUAGCAAACAGGAUUAGAUACCCGAGUAGUC
RNAcentral lists this ribosomal RNA (465 nucleotides) under Vreelandella stevensii. Its description in RNAcentral is "partial 16S ribosomal RNA". It matches the Rfam family "Bacterial small subunit ribosomal RNA", at positions 338 to 795 of the family's 1533-position model. Lineage: Bacteria; Pseudomonadati; Pseudomonadota; Gammaproteobacteria; Oceanospirillales; Halomonadaceae. The record is from RNAcentral.